CUCGCGUGCAAAACCGGUCGGUCAUUACAUCCGUAAAUAUACGAGGCGACGCACACGUCAAUUAGAUUGGCCGGUUGCGCAACCCGCUCGUGCGCGCGCCACUGCCACCCACUUCGUUUAUACUGACGCACACGAUAACAUGUGGGUAACUUGGUACCCAGUUUAUUUCAAUUCAUCAACACGUGGUGUCUUCCUCCAUCAUUCUUCUGGGAACAACUGAUAUAUAUUUUUUUUUAAUUUUUUCACUUGAUUACUUUAAUCAUUGAAUUAAUUUCAAACAAACUUUUUAAUUGUCCUCGUACGGAGAGUAAUGUUGAGAAAAACAAAAAUUCUAGUGCACCAGAAAUCAGCCAAAAGUACGUUAAACUGACAUUUUUAAAAACAUUCUAAAUCAGUGCAGAAAUUUGUCUGGUGUUUCAUCAAUUUAUAUAAACAAAACAAUAAAAAAAUUGUCAGUGUUACAGUUGCACCGUAAUUUUAACCCAAUACUGCAAUGUGUUUGGCAAAAAUUCUCUGACGUGUACGGUAAAGUGAAGAAAAAAAAAUAUAUAUUCUUUUCCAAAAUAACAAUAGGCAGUGACCCGGAUAUCCUGUGUUACCCCGAGGAAUGGCAAAUCCCCUUGGUUUGACCUCGGAAGCCCCAGGAGGCGGUGAACCGGUUUUUCUUCGAUCUUCCACUCAAAUCGAUUCUCCGAAGUGAUGCCGGAACUGAAAACCAGCGCAGGGCACGAGAACGGAAGAUCCACCCUUCUUUUUUUUUUUUUUUUAUUUAUCUCCCUGUCGAAUGAUCGCUGAACUUAUUCUCCUCGUGAGAACAACAACGAGUCACGACUGUGAAAGAAGAGAGAAGGGCAGGGGAAGAAUGAAAAUGAGAAAGUAAAGGAAAAAAUGAGGAUGAGAGAGGAUGGGAGAGGGAAGAAAAAAUGAGAGUCGACUCUCGAGCGUUCUUGAACUCAGCUGAGAUUCGAUUUUGCUUGAGGAUUGAUGAAUGGGCGGAGAGUGGUUCCCUUUGGCGGAAAGUGGGCAGCUACGGCCUUGCCUCGAGUUUCACUCAGUCUCUCUAUCUCACUUUUUCUUCUUUUUUCUUUAUUUUUUUUUUUUCUGCAACCGUGUUUCCCUUUAUCUUCCACCUCUCCUCGAGGACAUUCACGAAGAAAUCCAUGGUUAUUAGCAUUAAAGAGCGGACUGAGGACACGGUUUACUCCUCCCUCUUCGUGUCGGCACCUACAGAGAGGGGGAGAGAAUCGAGAGGGAGAUGGUUUUCACAAAGGACGCGGCCUUCGUCCACAAGACUGGAACGAUGGCUACCUAGGAAGUAUGCUGGUGAUCCAUGGACGCUUCAAAGCAGAAUCUAAAGAUACACGGUUGGCAGUUGGUAAAAUUAGUUAACCGAAAUGGUGAGUGAGAGAGUCGAAAGUAGAAGUAGAGGGACACCGUGAUCAUCGUACGCGGAAGAAAGUGCGUACACGUUACGAAUUAUGCGCGUUAGUUGAAGUGUCGUUGACCUCAUCCCAGUUAAAAUAUGUGUUUCAUCGAAUAUUACAAUAUUGUUCAUUUUAAUAGACGUACGACUAUGAAAAAUCAAUCAGUGGAUGAAUAACUCCAUUACUGCUCAACAAAUAAUAACGAAAGACCGAAAAAAAUAACAGAAAUAACGAUAAUGGAAUAACAGAGUGAAAGAAAUAUAAAGAGUUAUAAGUUGAUGUUGUUCGGGAUGAGAAGAGCCAGUUGCCCAUGUUGAUUUUUUUCUGGAGUAAUCAGCAAAUCGGCGAGUCUGGCAGCUGGUUACACCGGGAGGAGGUGGAGGAAUAGGCUGGUGAUGAGGAAGACUGGGAGAGGUGUUGGAAAGACGUCGAUAUAACAACUCGAUUACAUCAGGAGAGAAGUGUCACUUUGCCAGAGGCAACUGCAAAGUGAAUUUUGUUAUAGGCCUCUGGUCUUCUCAAGAAAAGAGCAAGGGAGUAGUGGCAUUUGUCCAUUUUCCUUUUGAUAACUGUACCCCACUUGAGAUACUUGUGAAACAAUUGGAGAAAUUAUUUUUGUUGAGGUUUAAAUUACAAUCGUCCGCAAGAUCCAGACGAGAUCUGAUUUUGAGGACAUUAUCUUGUUGAAAAAGAAAAAAAAAACAAAUUUUUGGGACUGACUCAGACCGAGAGGAGAUAAUGUAUUAGAAUUAGUCUCUGCUAUUAAAUUAAAAGGAAAAAUGAGAGCACGAGAUGAUAUUUCCAACGGGAAGUCUUGCAUGUGUCUCAUGGCCAGGCCCUAUUUUAAAUAGCCGAUAAAUUACUGCAAUGAUUCCACGAAAAUUCAGGAUAAAUAUCUCCCAAAGUACUUAAAUGUCACAUUCAAUAAAAUCAUGAACCUCUACCGUAAAAUUAUUUACCAUUUUAUUUUUAUGCUUCAUUCAUCUUCGUGAAAAUCAGAGCAAAAUAAAUGAAGGACUGAUGGUAGUGACAGUAAUUAUAGAACACCAAGCGAUAAUCACUGACAACUGACAUUCAGAAGCCCGAGAAGACUAGAAAUGCAGUGAGAAAUUACAGC
Diachasmimorpha longicaudata is the source of this 2541-nucleotide long non-coding RNA. RefSeq lists it as uncharacterized. The record is from RefSeq and is a predicted model, not a curated record. Lineage: Eukaryota; Metazoa; Arthropoda; Insecta; Hymenoptera; Braconidae. The transcript has 3 exons.